AAUCUUGGCAACAGCAGGUCGCAAUAUUAUAUAUAUAUAUAUAUAUCUGGAUGAAGUUUGGAACAGCUCAAAGGGUAUUUCAACUUCGGUAGCCCGGUGAAAGGUCUUUCUGCAGCUUCCUGAUGCUGUUGCCAAAGAAAGCGGCGGAAAUUAAUUAAGAAAACAUUGGAUUUGCAGGCAGCGCGAGGGACGCAACGCGUUGAGGUUGUCCGUCAAACCGAAGAAACCAGCCCGCGGGCAGCGCGUUGCCCUUUGCCCCGCGUCCGCAACUGAAUGUCCCAUAACGAAGGUUCAUUUUUAUUGCAUAUUUCGAUUUCGUGACCCUUUACAAUUGGGCUUAAUUGUGUUUGACUGGCUGGCGGUCACCAAACCUAGAACAACAUCUCUUCACCAAUGGCAUUUUAUAUGUUAUAAGCACUACGAUUUCCAGUUUUUUAUGAUGUCAUAUAGUUUUCCGAUGUUAUAGAUGCUGCUCUUAUAGUUGGACGAUUGCAAAAACCCGACUACGAAUGCAAAUUAUUUUUGUAGGUUCGAUUGGUUCUUGCAUCUGAGUUUCCACACCUGUAAACAAUUUAUUUUUAAUGCUGAAUAUUAGUCAACAUUUUUUUUUUCUUAAUAUUUAAAGUAAUAUACGAUUUUUUUCGGCCUUCAGCUUGGCUGUUUUUUCGGUUUGAUUUAAGGCUCAGUUUAUAGUUAAAUAUAAUUUCAAAUUUUACAAAAUGGCUGUAUUUUAGUUUUAAGAUAUAUUAAUCUAUAUAAAGAGCGUAAUCUAUGAAGGGAUACUAACCCCGAUUAUAAAAGACUUUCAACUGAGAUCGUUCAAUAUUUGUAGUCUAUAAUAAAUGAUACUCUUCCAUAUCUAUA
Long non-coding RNA from Drosophila virilis, 864 nucleotides. RefSeq lists it as uncharacterized. Lineage: Eukaryota; Metazoa; Arthropoda; Insecta; Diptera; Drosophilidae. The record is from RefSeq and is a predicted model, not a curated record.